Molecule: long non-coding RNA, 676 nt
Organism: Pecten maximus
Lineage: Eukaryota; Metazoa; Mollusca; Bivalvia; Pectinida; Pectinidae
Exons: 2
Source: RefSeq, a predicted model, not a curated record
AAGAAAAUCUAAGGGAAAUAUACCCAAACCCAGGCUCCAAAACGAAAUCAGAUGUUUGGAAAUUCUUCGGAUUUUAUAAAAUUAAUGAUAAUGAACCACCAUCAAAAAAGAAUUUGGAUACAACGCAAGCUGUUUGCCGUCUAUGCCGCAAGAUUUACAGAAAUACAGGAAAUACUACGAAUUUCAGAGCCCAUAUUGACGGGGAACACAAAUUACCAUCGGGAAAUUCCACACAAUCGCGAUCAGACAAAGUUGAAACAAAAUUAGUUCAACCAACAAUAUUGGCUGCAUUUGUCAAAAGAUGUGAUGUUGUAUCAGGAUCAAAUACUGUAUUGAGUCAAGAACGGAGAGGACGGGUCGAUGAUGCAAUAUAUCAACUAGUAUCUAGCUACCCUGGUAGCCAAAUUGCAAAGACAUUAAAAACAAUAAUUUCCAGGGAGAUUUGAGUGCAUGUAUUGUAUUUGCAUUUGUGAGUUUUUCACCCUUGUACAUGUUCAAUAAAUGCUUACUAUUAUUUUCUAGUCAAAAAAAUGGUGUGUCAAAAAUGUCAAAAACUGUCAAUUGUCUAGUCAAGAAUGUUUAGUUAUUGCUCUGUUAUACUAAAUUGUUAUUGUUUAUCAGUUUAAUAGCUCAAUUAAGCUGUUUUCAUUGUUAAUAAAAAUAUUGUUUUUCUUGA